Small nucleolar RNA from Tachyglossus aculeatus (Australian echidna), 138 nucleotides. Lineage: Eukaryota; Metazoa; Chordata; Mammalia; Monotremata; Tachyglossidae. The record is from RefSeq and is a predicted model, not a curated record.
CCUCUCUUAGGGUCACACCUGGAGAGUUUCUAGUACUCUACCAAUCUCGGCUACAGGAGAGAGAGUCAAGCAGAGGCAAACCCAUUCCAUUCCUAGGUUGACCAGUGGCUAGCAGAUGGAAGGCAAUCUGCUGCAAGU